GAAAAAGUUGUUGACUAUAUAUGUUAAAUAAUAUAAAACUGAAAGUAUAUAUUUUGUAGAUAUUUACAUGAUUCUCAACGACUCAACGUUACCGAACGAACCACGUGAACCGAAAAAAAAAAAAAAGAAGAAGCAAGAAUUAGGUCUAUAAUUUAAUAAAGCCAUACCAACAAGAAUAUAUAUCAGAAGUAGAAAAAUGCAUGGCAUCAGGGUGACGUCAUUUCCCGUCGACAUUACGCAAACA
RNAcentral lists this long non-coding RNA (244 nucleotides) under Capsella rubella. RNAcentral describes it as "long non-coding RNA (CRUB_LNC004006)". The record is from RNAcentral. Lineage: Eukaryota; Viridiplantae; Streptophyta; Magnoliopsida; Brassicales; Brassicaceae.